This 1700-nucleotide long non-coding RNA is filed under the name Canis lupus dingo (dingo). RNAcentral describes it as "lncRNA (ENSCAFG00020003320.1)". Lineage: Eukaryota; Metazoa; Chordata; Mammalia; Carnivora; Canidae. The record is from RNAcentral.
UCAACUCCCAGUCUUAGAGGUGGAGCUGGGAAGCCCCUGGGGUCACCAGGUGCAAACCCCUCCUGCCACUGCCCGAUAACCCCUCCAGGCCUCUCUCAGGGCCUCAUCUGAGGAGCACACAGUCCUUCCCGGCUGCACGGAGGUGCCUGGUUUUCCGUUCCGUGUGUUUCUGGAAGGAGCCCAAGGAGCAGGUGCGCCCAGGCCCGUGGCCAUUCCUUCUCAGAGAGGGGCCUCCCACCCGGACCUCUGGCUCUGACCCCCCUUCCAGUCCUCCCUCCGCUCUCCCUGCAGGCGUGGAGCUCCCGUCCAUCCUGAGCUGAAGCUCAAGUUCCUUUCUUCCGGUUUGGAAGAGCAAGCAAGAGAGAGAAGGAACGAUUAGCCCGGUCCUGUCCUCGGGGCCAGGAAGCUACCCUGCUCUUCUGCAGGUGGGAUGGUUGGUCCAGACCUUGACCCCGAGGAGCCCCUUGUCACCUCCCAGCGGCCUUGGAGAGCCCCCAGCCCUCUCUGUGUGGCACCUUGAUCCCCAGGCCUCCCGGGACAGGACGCAGGGGGCCCCAGCCGCAGGGGCAGGGGAAGGUCUCUGGGCAGCUCCACUGCACACCGGCCUCCACCCUGACACAGAAGUCAGGCAGGAAACGGGUGGCCAGCCGCAGAGAGGGCGGCUCCCUGCAGGCUCAGCGGUUGGUUUACGGUCCUGCACCAGGGACACAGUGACUUUGCUCUGCGCCCCUCUUCUGGUGGCUUUGAGUGGCAGAACUUGGAGAGAUGGGACAUCAGAUUUGAUCAGAAGGCCCUGUGUGAAGUUGGUUCUUAUCUGACUUUGGUGCCCUGGCUCCAGCCGGGCCUGCAGCCCUCUCCCCACACCGUGCCAAGGUCCAGGAGAGCGACACGGCCCCUGCAUCACUCCCAGCACCUGCUGUGGCCCAGGCAGAGGCCCCAGGCCUUUCACUUAUGUGUGGCUGAGAAGAGGAAAUGGGUGGCCAUGUAAACAGUUAUACGCACAGGUGUGUGACAGUAGCCCAUCUGCCUCUUCCUGCCUGUCCUCCCCGGUGACUUGUCAGGUGUUUGGGAGGGGACACAUUCGGGGUGGCCGCCCAGUUCCUGAUGGAGGCCACAGCAGAGCGGUGGAGAGAUUCCUGACUCUGUGUCCUGACUGUGUGGUCUUUGAGUCAAGGGAAGAAGAAAUAAAGGAGGAGGUGCCCUAUGGGGCCACCGCACAGGUGAGCACUCAGGAAGCAGGAGCCACCUGCAUGUCCAGUGACUCCAUCCUUGGGAUCCACCUCCCCCUGGAUCCUGCUCCCAGUCCUGCCUGGAUCCCUCACUGCCACAGCCUGGACACGGACCUUUGUCAUUUCCACCCAAAAUGACCUCAAUACCUCCCUACCUUUACCCUCCUGCUCUCCCUGCUCCAGUCCGGCUGGAGACCGCCUUAAAAACACAACAGCGGGGGGGCCCCUGGGUGGCUUAGGCAAUUAAACAUCCACGCUCGGGUGCGUGGGGGGCCCCGCGGGCCGGUGCGCCUGGCAGCUGCCUCUCACUUCCCCACCGAGCAGCUGACCUUGCCUUCCCGCACCGCCGCGCCCUGGACGUACCUGGAGUACCGGGGAAUUGUUGGUGAGGACGAUGGAGGGAAACUUUUUACUCCUGAGGAAUAUGAAGAAUACCAAAAAACAAACAAACAAACAAACAAACAAACAAAA